Molecule: long non-coding RNA, 205 nt
Filed under: Homo sapiens (human)
Lineage: Eukaryota; Metazoa; Chordata; Mammalia; Primates; Hominidae
Description: non-protein coding lnc-PCDH18-1:2
Source: RNAcentral
GUGUUCUAGAACUCCUAAAAACGGACCUGCCUUAGAAUCCUUGCCACUUCCAGCCCUUUGCCUAAGAUUAGCCUAUGGGAAGCAUGGCCUCUGUGUGAAUUGGUGGUGGAUUCAAAGCACAGCAUCUGGGGUCCUGUGUCAAUUACGCUCUCCUCAACAGAAGAUCUGAGUGGUGGUGCAUCUUCAUGGCUGCUGGCAGGCCCCG